UCAAAUAAUGUUUAAUAAAUAAUAAUAAUAAUAAUAAAAAGGGGGUGAGGGUCUUAAUCUAAUAACAUGUAUAAAUCCAAAGCAGAA
Long non-coding RNA from Sinocyclocheilus grahami, 87 nucleotides. RefSeq lists it as uncharacterized. The transcript has 3 exons. The record is from RefSeq and is a predicted model, not a curated record. NCBI's taxonomy places the organism in Eukaryota, Metazoa, Chordata, Actinopteri, Cypriniformes, Cyprinidae.